CUUACGACCAGGGCUACACACGUGCUACAAUGGCAUAUACAAAGAGAAGCGACCUCGCGAGAGCAAGCGGACCUCAUAAUGUAUGUCGUAGUCCGGAUUGGAGUCUGCAACUCGACUCCAUGAAGUCGGAAUCGCUAGUAAUCGUAGAUCAGAAUGCUACGGUGAAUACGUUCCCGGGCCUUGUACACACCGCCCGUCACACCAUGGGAGUGGGUUGCAAAAGAAGUAGGUAGCUUAACCUUCGGGAGGGCGCUUACCACUUAGUGAUUCAUGACUGGGGUGAAGUCGUAACAAGGUAACCGUAGGGGAACCUGCGGUUGGAUCACCUCCUUACCUUAAAGAA
This 343-nucleotide ribosomal RNA is filed under the name Klebsiella pneumoniae. RNAcentral describes it as "bacterial SSU rRNA". It matches the Rfam family "Bacterial small subunit ribosomal RNA", at positions 1201 to 1533 of the family's 1533-position model. The record is from RNAcentral. Lineage: Bacteria; Pseudomonadati; Pseudomonadota; Gammaproteobacteria; Enterobacterales; Enterobacteriaceae.